AGAAGCGCAUACGGUGGAUGCCUUGGCAGUCAGAGGCGAUGAAAGACGUGGUAGCCUGCGAAAAGCUUCGGGGAGUCGGCAAACAGACUUUGAUCCGGAGAUGUCUGAAUGGGGGAACCCACCUAACAUAAGUUAGGUAUCUUAAGCUGAAUACAUAGGCUUAAGAAGCGAACCAGGGGAACUGAAACAUCUAAGUACCCUGAGGAAAAGAAAUCAACCGAGAUUCCCUUAGUAGUGGCGAGCGAACGGGGACUAGCCCUUAAGUGGCUUUGAGAUUAGCGGAACGCUCUGGAAAGUGCGGCCAUAGUGGGUGAUAGCCCUGUACGCGAAAAUCUCUUGGUCAUGAAAUCGAGUAGGACGGAGCACGAGAAACUUUGUCUGAAUAUGGGGGGACCAUCCUCCAAGGCUAAAUACUACUGACUGACCGAUAGUGAACUAGUACCGUGAGGGAAAGGCGAAAAGAACCCCGGAGAGGGGAGUGAAAUAGAUCCUGAAACCGUAUGCGUACAAGCAGUGGGAGCCCACUUUGUUGGGUGACUGCGUACCUUUUGUAUAAUGGGUCAGCGACUUAUUUUCAGUGGCGAGCUUAACCGAAUAGGGGAGGCGUAGCGAAAGCGAGUCUUAAUAGGGCGUCUAGUCGCUGGGAAUAGACCCGAAACCGGGCGAUCUAUCCAUGGGCAGGUUGAAGGUUGGGUAACACUAACUGGAGGACCGAACCGACUACCGUUGAAAAGUUAGCGGAUGACCUGUGGAUCGGAGUGAAAGGCUAAUCAAGCUCGGAGAUAGCUGGUUCUCCUCGAAAGCUAUUUAGGUAGCGCCUCAUGUAUCACUGUAGGGGGUAGAGCACUGUUUCGGCUAGGGGGUCAUCCCGACUUACCAAACCGAUGCAAACUCCGAAUACCUACAAGUGCCGAGCAUGGGAGACACACGGCGGGUGCUAACGUCCGUCGUGAAAAGGGAAACAACCCAGACCGUCAGCUAAGGUCCCAAAGUUAUGGUUAAGUGGGAAACGAUGUGGGAAGGCUUAGACAGCUAGGAGGUUGGCUUAGAAGCAGCCACCCUUUAAAGAAAGCGUAAUAGCUCACUAGUCGAGUCGGCCUGCGCGGAAGAUGUAACGGGGCUCAAACCAUACACCGAAGCUACGGGUAUCACUUAGGUGAUGCGGUAGAGGAGCGUUCUGUAAGCCUGUGAAGGUGAGUUGAGAAGCUUGCUGGAGGUAUCAGAAGUGCGAAUGCUGACAUGAGUAACGACAAUGGGUGUGAAAAACACCCACGCCGAAAGACCAAGGUUUCCUGCGCAACGUUAAUCGACGCAGGGUUAGUCGGUCCCUAAGGCGAGGCUGAAAAGCGUAGUCGAUGGAAAACAGGUUAAUAUUCCUGUACUUCUGGUUAUUGCGAUGGAGGGACGGAGAAGGCUAGGCCAGCUUGGCGUUGGUUGUCCAAGUUUAAGGUGGUAGGCUGGAAUCUUAGGUAAAUCCGGGAUUCNNNNNNNNNNACUUCUGGUUAUUGCGAUGGAGGGACGGAGAAGGCUAGGCCAGCUUGGCGUUGGUUGUCCAAGUUUAAGGUGGUAGGCUGAGAUCUUAGGUAAAUCCGGGAUCUUAAGGCCGAGAGCUGAUGACGAGUGUUCUUUUAGAACACGAAGUGGUUGAUGCCAUGCUUCCAAGAAAAGCUUCUAAGCUUCAGGUAACCAGGAACCGUACCCCAAACCGACACAGGUGGUUGGGUAGAGAAUACCAAGGCGCUUGAGAGAACUCGGGUGAAGGAACUAGGCAAAAUGGCACCGUAACUUCGGGAGAAGGUGCGCCGGUGAGGGUGAAGGACUUGCUCCGUAAGCUCAUGCCGGUCGAAGAUACCAGGCCGCUGCGACUGUUUAUUAAAAACACAGCACUCUGCAAACACGAAAGUGGACGUAUAGGGUGUGACGCCUGCCCGGUGCCGGAAGGUUAAUUGAUGGGGUUAGCUAACGCGAAGCUCUUGAUCGAAGCCCCGGUAAACGGCGGCCGUAACUAUAACGGUCCUAAGGUAGCGAAAUUCCUUGUCGGGUAAGUUCCGACCUGCACGAAUGGCGUAACGAUGGCGGCGCUGUCUCCACCCGAGACUCAGUGAAAUUGAAAUCGCUGUGAAGAUGCAGUGUAUCCGCGGCUAGACGGAAAGACCCCGUGAACCUUUACUAUAGCUUUGCACUGGACUUUGAAUUUGCUUGUGUAGGAUAGGUGGGAGGCUUUGAAGCGUGGACGCCAGUUCGCGUGGAGCCAACCUUGAAAUACCACCCUGGCAACUUUGAGGUUCUAACUCAGGUCCGUUAUCCGGAUCGAGGACAGUGUAUGGUGGGUAGUUUGACUGGGGCGGUCUCCUCCUAAAGAGUAACGGAGGAGUACGAAGGUGCGCUCAGACCGGUCGGAAAUCGGUCGUAGAGUAUAAAGGCAAAAGCGCGCUUGACUGCGAGACAGACACGUCGAGCAGGUACGAAAGUAGGUCUUAGUGAUCCGGUGGUUCUGUAUGGAAGGGCCAUCGCUCAACGGAUAAAAGGUACUCCGGGGAUAACAGGCUGAUACCGCCCAAGAGUUCAUAUCGACGGCGGUGUUUGGCACCUCGAUGUCGGCUCAUCACAUCCUGGGGCUGAAGCCGGUCCCAAGGGUAUGGCUGUUCGCCAUUUAAAGUGGUACGCGAGCUGGGUUUAGAACGUCGUGAGACAGUUCGGUCCCUAUCUGCCGUGGACGUUUGAGAUUUGAGAGGGGCUGCUCCUAGUACGAGAGGACCGGAGUGGACGAACCUCUGGUGUUCCGGUUGUCACGCCAGUGGCAUUGCCGGGUAGCUAUGUUCGGAAUAGAUAACCGCUGAAAGCAUCUAAGCGGGAAACUAGCCUCAAGAUGAGAUCUCACUGGGACCUUGAGUCCCCUGAAGGGCCGUCGAAGACUACGACGUUGAUAGGUUGGGUGUGUAAGCGCUGUGAGGCGUUGAGCUAACCAAUACUAAUUGCCCGUGAGGCUUGACC
This 2994-nucleotide ribosomal RNA is filed under the name Pseudomonas prosekii. Its description in RNAcentral is "bacterial LSU rRNA". It matches the Rfam family "Bacterial large subunit ribosomal RNA". The record is from RNAcentral. Lineage: Bacteria; Pseudomonadati; Pseudomonadota; Gammaproteobacteria; Pseudomonadales; Pseudomonadaceae.